AGAACGAACGCUGGCGGCAUGCCUAACACAUGCAAGUCGAACGCGUGUAGCAAUACACGAGUGGCGCACGGGUGAGUAACGCGUGGGAACCUGCCCUGGAGUGGGGGGAUAACCGAGGGAAACCUCGGCUAAUACCGCAUACGUCCUGAGGGAGAAAGAUUUAUCGCUCCAGGAGGGGCCCGCGUCGGAUUAGCUUGUUGGCGGGGUAACGGCCCACCAAGGCUAUGAUCCGUAGCUGGUCUGAGAGGAUGAUCAGCCACACUGGGACUGAGACACGGCCCAGACUCCUACGGGAGGCAGCAGUGGGGAAUAUUGGACAAUGGGCGCAAGCCUGAUCCAGCAAUGCCGCGUGAGUGAUGAAGGCCUUAGGGUUGUAAAGCUCUUUCGGCGGGACGAUGAUGACGGUACCCGCAGAAGAAGCCCCGGCUAACUCGUGCCAGCAGCCGC
RNAcentral lists this ribosomal RNA (447 nucleotides) under uncultured bacterium. Its description in RNAcentral is "SSU rRNA". It matches the Rfam family "Bacterial small subunit ribosomal RNA", at positions 26 to 518 of the family's 1533-position model. The record is from RNAcentral.